CUUGAGAGUUUGAUCCUGGCUCAGAACGAACGCUGGCGGCAUGCCUAACACAUGCAAGUCGAACGAGACCUUCGGGUCUAGUGGCGCACGGGUGCGUAACGCGUGGGAACCUGCCCUUAGGUUCGGAAUAACAGUUAGAAAUGACUGCUAAUACCGGAUAAUGUCUUCGGACCAAAGAUUUAUCGCCUUUGGAUGGGCCCGCGUUGGAUUAGAUAGUUGGUGGGGUAAUGGCCUACCAAGUCGACGAUCCAU
RNAcentral lists this ribosomal RNA (252 nucleotides) under Pteridomonas danica. Its description in RNAcentral is "partial Bacterial small subunit ribosomal RNA". It matches the Rfam family "Bacterial small subunit ribosomal RNA", at positions 1 to 284 of the family's 1533-position model. The record is from RNAcentral. Lineage: Eukaryota; Dictyochophyceae; Pedinellales.